Molecule: non-coding RNA, 616 nt
Organism: Salmo salar (Atlantic salmon)
Lineage: Eukaryota; Metazoa; Chordata; Actinopteri; Salmoniformes; Salmonidae
Source: RefSeq, a predicted model, not a curated record
GGAAACACGGCUUGUAACAACAACAAAAAAAUUAGCAGACAAAGAAGAUCGUACAUUUUUCCUGAUCAAAGAGAGGUUUUGAAAGCGUUCUUUGACCAGGGAUUGACCUGGAGAGGGUCGCCUCUGCUGGCUGAGGCAGCCAACAGAACUGGACUGUCGGAGAGUGUAGAGCUCAUAGAGCUCCACAAACAGGUGGCAGAUAUUUUUACGCAGGAUACUUUGGGCUGCACCUUUCUCCAUUAUGCAGUGGAGGUGAGCUGCAAGGAGAUUGACAAGUAAAUCAUAGACAACGAACAUCAUGCAACCGGUUUCCACCGCCUAUUACUGAGGUCAACUCUCUACUAUUAAAGGUCUGUCCUCAAAUAAUAAAAUUAAAAUAGACCUAAUUUAUAUGAAUUACUCAGUUCCUGGAUAAAGUAUGUCAACUGGGUCAAACCUGGUGGAGGCCGGGGCUUGCCUCAUGAAGACUGACCUUCAGGUAAAUUAAAUUGAAUCAGGCUGAUGGUUAUCAUAAUUACCUAGCUCUAGUGUCAGGAAUCCCACUUCCUGAGUCUGUUUUCUGCCUGAGCUGACUGUUUUUUGUUUUGGAGUCUGUUUCCUGAGGUUCCUGAAUGCA